Molecule: ribosomal RNA, 52 nt
Filed under: Schistidium dupretii
Lineage: Eukaryota; Viridiplantae; Streptophyta; Bryopsida; Grimmiales; Grimmiaceae
Description: partial 26S ribosomal RNA
Source: RNAcentral
GCCUUGCUGCUACGAUCCACUGAGAUUCGGCCUCACCGUCCCACAGAUUUGU